RNAcentral lists this unclassified non-coding RNA (351 nucleotides) under uncultured fungus. Its description in RNAcentral is "sequence contains ITS1". The stretch from base 1 to 107 matches the Rfam family "5.8S ribosomal RNA", at positions 50 to 154 of the family's 154-position model. Lineage: Eukaryota; Fungi. The record is from RNAcentral.
GAAAUGCGAUACUUGGUGUGAAUUGCAGAAUCCCGUGAACCAUCGAGUCUUUGAACGCAAGUUGCGCACGAAGCCCUCGUGGGCAGGGCACGUCUGUCUGGGCGUCACGCACCGCGUCGCCCCCACCCCCCUCCGAAAGCCAGGGGGAUCGGGGCGGAGACUGGCCCCCCGUGUGCCCCGAGGCACGCGGCCGGCCCAAACGCAGACCCCGCGGCCGCUGGACGGCGCGACGAUCGGUGGAGUAGACCCUACGUAUCCCGUCGCGCCCCGAGCGACCCUCGGAGGCCAUGGUUGACCCUGAGAGAAUACCGUUGCGACCCCAGAUCAGGCAGGACUACCAGAUGAGUUUAA